Molecule: ribosomal RNA, 440 nt
Filed under: uncultured bacterium
Lineage: Bacteria
Description: bacterial SSU rRNA
Rfam family: Bacterial small subunit ribosomal RNA
Source: RNAcentral
UUGGUGCUAAUACCGCAUAAGACCACGGAGAGGCAUCUCCCCGGGGUAAAAGAAUAAUCGGAUACAGAUGAGUUCGCGUCCCAUUAGGUAGUUGGUGAGGUAACGGCCCACCAAGCCGACGAUGGGUAGCCGACCUGAGAGGGUGAUCGGCCACAUUGGAACUGAGAGACGGUCCAGACUCCUACGGGAGGCAGCAGUGGGGAAUAUUGGGCAAUGGAGGUAACUCUGACCCAGCAACGCCGCGUGAGUGAAGAAGGUUUUCGGAUUGUAAAACUCUUUAAGCGGGGACGAAGAAAGUGACUGUACCCGCAGAAUAAGCAUCGGCUAACUACGUGCCAGCAGCCAGCGAAUAAUACGUAGGAUGCAAGCGUUAUCCGGAAUGACUGGGCGUAAAGGGUGCGUAGGUGGUUUGUCAAGUUGGCAGCGUAAUUCCGUGGCUU